UAGGUGAACACUGAGAAGGCAGAUGCAGC
This 29-nucleotide non-coding RNA is filed under the name Homo sapiens (human). The record is from RNAcentral. Lineage: Eukaryota; Metazoa; Chordata; Mammalia; Primates; Hominidae.